Molecule: small nuclear RNA, 134 nt
Filed under: Microtus ochrogaster (prairie vole)
Lineage: Eukaryota; Metazoa; Chordata; Mammalia; Rodentia; Cricetidae
Description: U11 spliceosomal RNA (ENSMOCG00000010341.1)
Rfam family: U11 spliceosomal RNA
Source: Rfam by way of RNAcentral
UAAAAGGGCUUCUGUCAUGAGUGGCACACAUAGGGCAACUUGAUUGUGCUGCCUGUGGAAUCGACAUCAAGAUAUUUUGGAAGCAUAAUUUUUUGGUACUUGGGCAGCUGGUGAUCAUUGUUCCACACCCCCCC